UACGUAGGGUGCAAGCGUUAAUCGGAAUUACUGGGCGUAAAGCGUGCGCAGGCGGUCGUGUAAGACAGAUGUGAAAUCCCCGGGCUUGACCUGGGAACUGCAUUUGUGACUGCAUGGCUGGAGUGCGGCAGAGGGGGAUGGAAUUCCGCGUGUAGCAGUGAAAUGCGUAGAUAUGCGGAGGAACACCGAUGGCGAAGGCAAUCCCCUGGGCCUGCACUGACGCUCAUGCACGAAAGCGUGGGGAGCAAACAGG
RNAcentral lists this ribosomal RNA (253 nucleotides) under uncultured bacterium. RNAcentral describes it as "partial 16S ribosomal RNA". It matches the Rfam family "Bacterial small subunit ribosomal RNA", at positions 524 to 776 of the family's 1533-position model. The record is from RNAcentral.